GUGCUCAAUUUGGCAGCAUAUAUACUAAAAUUGGAAUGAUGCAGAGAAGAUCAACAUGGUCCAUGUGCAAGGAUGACAUGCAAAUUUGUGAAGUAUUUCAUAUUUUU
Small nuclear RNA from Heterocephalus glaber (naked mole-rat), 107 nucleotides. The record is from Ensembl. NCBI's taxonomy places the organism in Eukaryota, Metazoa, Chordata, Mammalia, Rodentia, Bathyergidae.